Molecule: RNA transcript, 5700 nt
Organism: Rhineura floridana
Lineage: Eukaryota; Metazoa; Chordata; Lepidosauria; Squamata; Rhineuridae
Gene: ROBO3
Gene name: roundabout guidance receptor 3
Exons: 30
Source: RefSeq, a predicted model, not a curated record
UUGCCUACUUCCCACACACGCGUGUCCACCCUUGUAGCAAAGACAAUGUCAAACGGGCAACCAACGCCCUAAAUGGGCUGUGAUUAUUUUGUGCGUCGGAAUUGCUUUUGCGCCCCACACGGGUCCCGGAUUCGAAUCGAGUAGUGUUAUCUAGGUGGUGCCGGCGACGGCCGGGCGGCCCCGGGAUGUUCUCUGGGGCUCGCGAGGGCUCCCACUGCCCGCAUGUGGGGCGACAGGGGCGGGGAAAGAGCAGCUCGGUAAGCGCGUCCCUCCGGCGCGGCGCUUGCUGCGGUCGCCAAAGCCAGCCGUUUUCCCCUGGCUUCUCUCCGCCCGCGUCCUCCCGGCGAGGAGGGUCAAUGUCUCUUUAAGCCGCCGCGGCAGGGACCAGUCGCCUGACAAUGGGCCGGGGCAGCUGAGUUUGAGCAAGUUCCACGGUGCGGCGGCGGCGGCGGUAGCAGCAGCAGCUUCUCCUGGAAGAUCUCGCCAAGGCGAGCUGGCAUCAUCCAGGCGUCCGGCCGCGGCAGAAGCGGCGGCGGCAGCAGUAUCAGCCACGCGCUUGCCCUGGCGGGAGUUGCGCCAGGAGCGCGCUCGGGGGAAAGGGUUGGCGGCACGAUCGCCGGCGCUGAGUUGAUUCCCGAAACUGCUGGAGCCGGCCGGGAUCGCGGUCCUCGCCCUCCUCCAAGGUCCCUCCCCUCGUGAACCUCAGGACCGCCUCCUUUCCCUCUCGCCACGACUGGGGGCAGGUCCCGGGAGCCGACCCGCCCCCCUGCUGUGAAGCCGCGGCGGAAAGGUUCCGGCUUUCCUCUCCUGGAUGCGUCCCUGGAGGAGCUGAGCCAUGCGGCGGCGGCUCCCGCUUUGGCUCCGGAGCUUCCUGUGCUUCUUGCCGGCCUUGAUGGGAGCCAGUUCAGGUUCCCGUCCUCGCCUUGAGGAUUCUUCUCCGCGGAUAGUAGAGCAUCCCUCCGACCUCAUUGUGUCCAAGGGGGAGCCGGCAACGUUGAACUGCAAAGCGGAAGGACGGCCCACCCCCAUCAUAGAGUGGUACAAGGAUGGGGAACGAGUAGAGACGGACAAGGAAGACCCUCGAUCCCAUCGUAUGUUGCUGCCCAGCGGCUCCCUUUUCUUUCUGCGUAUCGUGCACGGACGGAGGAGCAAACCGGACGAGGGAGUGUACGUCUGUGUAGCCAGAAACUACCUGGGCGAGGCAGUCAGCAGGAAUGCAUCUCUGGAGGUAGCCAUUUUGCGAGAUGACUUCCGUCAAGCUCCCAGUGAUGUGGUGGUGGCAGCGGGUGAGCCAGCUGUGAUGGAGUGCAUCCCACCGAGAGGACACCCGGAGCCCACCAUUUCCUGGAAGAAGAACAACGUCCGCAUCAGCGAUAAGGAUGAGCGCAUCACGAUCCGAGGCGGGAAGCUGAUGAUGUCCAACACGAGGAAGAGUGACGCUGGCAUGUACAUCUGCGUGGCCACCAACAUGGUGGGCGAACGGGACAGCGAACCUGCGGAGCUGGUGGUGUUUGAGCGUCCCACUUUCAUCAAGAGGCCCAUAACCCAGGUGGUACUUGCCGAGGACACUGUGAAUUUCCACUGCGAGGUGCAGGGGGACCCUGUGCCGACGUCCCGCUGGCGCAAGGAGGAAGGGGAGCUUCCUCGAGGGAGAUCGGAGGUUCAGAAUGACAACACUCUGCGCAUCAGUCGGGUGAAUGCAGAGGACGAGGGCACUUACACUUGCGUGGCAGAGAAUAGUGUGGGCAAAUCGGAGGCCUCAGGCUCUCUCAGUGUCCAUGUUGGCCCAUUCCUUCCACCGCAAUUAGUGACCCGUCCUCGGGACCAGAUUGUCACCCAAGGCCGUACCGUGACAUUUCAGUGUGAGACCAAAGGAAACCCACCACCAGCUGUCUUUUGGCAGAAGGAAGGUAGCCAGAUCCUGCUUUUUCCCAGCCAGCCCCCUCAGGCAAUGGGCCGCUUUUCUGUAUCUCCAAGCGGCGAGAUGACUAUCACGGACGUGCAGACCUCAGACUCGGGCUACUACAUGUGCCAAGCAAUUAGCGUGGCAGGGAGCAUCCUGGCCAAAGCUCUCCUGGAAGUGGAAGAUGUGACAUCAGAUCGUAUUCCACCGAUUAUUCGCCGAGGGCUGACCAAUCAAACACUUGCUAUAGACUCUACAGCACAGCUGCAAUGCCAUGUGACUGGGAAUCCCCUGCCAAGCAUUCAGUGGCUGAAAGAUGGACAGCGGAUUGUGGGCAGUGACCCAAGAGUCAGUCUGUUAGACAAUGGAACCCUACAGGUUACGAACCUACAGGUUUCAGAUUCUGGGCUGUAUGUUUGCAUUGCUACAAGUUCAACUGGCGAGACACGAUGGAGCGGGUUUCUGGCGGUGCAAGAGAAUGGGGCUGACCUCCAGACACAGCUUCCAGAGCCAAGCCUUCUUCCAGGACCCCCCUCAGCCCCUCUGGUCACCGACGUCACCAAGAACAGCGUUGCUUUGAUCUGGAAGCCAAACCCUGUGAGCGGGACUGCCACCAUCAGUUCAUAUAUAAUCGAAGCAUUCAGUCAGUCUUCAGGUAGCACCUGGCAGACGGUAGCAGAUAAUGUGAAGUUGGAGAAGCACACAGUCAGUGGCUUGAACCCCAACACCAUUUACCUCUUCCUCAUACGGGCGGUCAACACCUACGGGCUAAGUGACCCCAGCCCCGUCUCGGAGCCAGUUCGUACACAAGAUGUAAGUCCUACCAGACAAGGGGUAGAUCACCGGCAGGUCCAAAAGGAACUUGGUGAAGUUGUGGUUCAGCUCCAGGAGCCCGUCGUUCUCACCUCCACCACCAUCCAAGUGACCUGGACUGUGGACCGCCAGGCUCAGUUCAUCCAAGGCUACCGAGUGAUGUACCGGCCCAAGAACAGUGCCUGGCUGGUGCAAGAUGUGAAGUCACCAGCUGAACGGAACACCGUCCUAGUUGAGCUUCACAAAGGCCAGGAGUACGAGGUCAAAAUUCGCCCAUAUUUUGACGAGUUCCAGGGCAUGGACAGUGAAGUGCUGCUGGUGCGCACCCCAGAAGAAGCCCCCAGUGCUCCUCCUCAGGCAGUUACUGUAGUGACGGUGGGGACCAGCAAUAGUACCAGUAUCAGUGUAUCCUGGGAGCCACCUCCACCCGAAGAGCAAAAUGGGAUCAUCCAAGAUUACAGGGUUUGGUGCCUGGGAAACGAGUCUCGCUAUCACAUCAAUAAGACAGUGGAUGGCACUGUACGCUCGACAGUUGUGCUGGGCCUGGUGCCAGGGAUGGUCUACCGCACAGAGGUGGCGGCAGCCACCAGCGUAGGCAUUGGAGUGAGGAGCGCCCCUGUCACUAUUCAGAUCAAGCCCUUGCUGGACCAGGACACUGUGUCUGUGAGUAGCGGGGAUAGCGUGAGCCUUGCUGAGCAGAUCACGGAUGUGGUGAAGCAGCCAGCCUUCAUAGCUGGCAUCGGAGGGGCCUGCUGGGUCAUCCUCAUGUGCUUCAGCGUGUGGAUCUACUGUCGCCGGAAGAAGAGAAAGGAACUGAGCCACUACACAGCCUCCUUUGCAUACACACCAGCAGUCUCUUUCCCCCAUGCGGAUGGGCCAGCGCGUGGCAGCAGCAGCAGGCCUGGCAUGCUGGCCAUGGCUACUAGUGCCUCCAGCUAUCCGUGGCUGGCAGAUUCGUGGCCAGCGCCAAACCUGCUGCGGAACGGGAAGGCAAAGGAGCCCGGAGGGAACUGCUGCGCAGGAAACCACAAUGCCACCGAGAGGUACUAUAAUGAUGCUGGAAUUUCCAAUUACAUUGCCCAGACGGAAAAGUUUGGGACGGGGGUGUCCGACGGGCCCAUCUACAGCACCAUUGAUCCUGCCAGCGAUGACAUGAGGACGUUCAAUGGGGCCUUUUCCCAGCACACCACCCCAUAUGCCACAACGCCCGUGAUACCAUAUGGGGCAACCCAUCUACACUCACCUGAUGAAGAGGAGAGCCAGUGGAACGCCCAGCCUGGCAUCUCCAGCAUCCAAUAUGCCCAGCCCGAGCGGGGCAGAGCUGAGAGUGUUGCUAAACCUGGAAAGCAGAAAUCAAUGGGGAAGCCCGUGAAAACACCGUCGCUCAACUGGACAGAAGUGCUUCCUCCACCUCCCUCUGCCAGUGAACUGAGCCAAUAUGUGGAGGAGGAGGAGGAGGAGGAGGAAGAGGAGGAGCUAGAAGUCAGUUCAGAGGUGGAGGAAUGGUGCCCACCCCUGCCAGAAAGGACCUACCUGAUGGAGAACAUCCAGGAAGAAGAAUGUCCUCCGCCACCACCUCGUGGAGAUGCCUCCUCUCCUGCAAAUUCGUACGGCCAGCAGUCCACGGCCACCUUGACCCCCUCGCCCCGGGAGGAGACGAGAGCUUCUGAAGACAUCCCCAGGCUGCAUCAUUUUGAGAUUCCGCACCUACCCAGGCGGUUACCCAAUGGCUCGGGGCCAUUGCCCAAGGCCUCAAGUCCUCCCUUGACUCAGUCCAACCCAAAUCUCAACGUGCCUGAAGAGGCACCCGAAGGCAUCUCUCCCAGGCAAGGUCAUCGACGUAACCUGAGCCAGACACCGGCGCACAGUGCAGAGAAUGUUGACUCUCCGGGAAUAGGCAAACCUCAUCCCAGCCUAGGGGACAUGCCUCUCCCUCCGGGGCAGAAAGGAAAAAGCAAGAAGAAAUCCAAGUCCAGCCACUACCGUCGAGAGAAAAAGCAGGGAGAUCUCCCGCCACCGCCCUUGCCACCUCCCGCCGAAGACCUCAGCAGCGCAGUUCCAGAUGGUGCCCCACGACUGGACUGUGACCCUUCCUCUCUGGAGAAGAACUUUAACGCUUCCUCGGCCAUGGAGCGGAGUGCUGCCCAUCGCACAGUGGCAGGCCAGCACUACCACCAGCACCGAGACGAGGAGGAAAUCAUCCCCUACAGCAAGCCCAGCUUCCUCUCCAGAAGCCAGGUGUCAAGCAAUUGCUCCACAACAGGAAGUUCUUCUUCCAAAGGCUCAACAGGAUCUAGAGGUCAUGGGUCAGGACGUAGCAGGACAACAGGGGAUCGCAGUGAGAGGUCAUCAUACAGGGCGACCAAGGCUGUUUCUGUACCAAAUCCCGGCCGAAAGCCCGAUUGAAAUGGAUCCAGAUUAGGUUGCCUAAUGUUGUGGACUUCCUGUAGGAAGUGACCAGGAAAAGAGAUGAAACCAAACCGAAGUCAGCGUGAGAAGAGCAAGACCUACAAAGGAAUUGGCAGCCGUAGACUUUGGGCCAGGGAGGGGGGUGUAUCUGUGCUUCUAAUUUAUGACCCUUUGAAAGAAGCUGCAUGGCCUGGCCCCUUGUAAAUAAGUUGUUCCCUGGAGGUUGGCAGUCCCUGGGAGUCAAGGAAGCUGUAUUUAUAAAUGGUGGCAAAAGGGACACUCAAAGUCUUCUGCCUGAACGGGCCUGGGUUUUUUUGGAAAAGUUGGCAUUUCUGCAGCUGGAGGGUUUGUGUGCAGUGGGAGAUGGGUACGGAAGAAGGCAGUAGGGAAGAGCGUUUGCCUUCUAUCAUCCAGCUCAGGAUGGGCAUUGAAAGCAGCCCACCUCACCAAGCACAUGCUCGGAUAGGCCCAGGUGCUCAGUCCUGCUUGCCAUAAGGCAGGGGUCAGCAGGGGUUUCUUUGGUAGCUAAUGAAUCCUUUUGUAAAAUGACCAAUAAAGCUGUUUGUUAACCUGGA